ACAAGCGGUGGAGCAUGUGGUUUAAUUCGACGCAACGCGAAGAACCUUUACCUGGGUUUGACAUCCCGAUCGUAUUCCAUGGAAACAUGGAAGUCAGUUCGGCUGGAUCGGUGACAGGUGCUGCAUGGCUGUCGUCAGCUCGUGUCGUGAGAUGUUGGGUUAAGUCCCGCAACGAGCGCAACCCUUGUCCUUAGUUGCCACCAUUCAGUUGGGCACUCUAAGGAGACUGCCGGUGUUAAACCGGAGGAAGGUGGGGAUGACGUCAAGUCCUCAUGGCCCUUAUAUCCAGGGCUACACACGUGCUACAAUGGCCGGUACAAAGGGUCGCAAUACCGCGAGGUGGAGCAAAUCCUAAAAAGCCGGUCUCAGUUCGGAUUGCAGGCUGCAAUUCGCCUGCAUGAAGUCGGAAUCGCUAGUAAUCGCAGGUCAGCAUACUGCGGUGAAUACGUUCCCGGGCCUU
RNAcentral lists this ribosomal RNA (460 nucleotides) under uncultured Geothermobacter sp. Its description in RNAcentral is "bacterial SSU rRNA". It matches the Rfam family "Bacterial small subunit ribosomal RNA", at positions 925 to 1382 of the family's 1533-position model. The record is from RNAcentral. Lineage: Bacteria; Pseudomonadati; Thermodesulfobacteriota; Desulfuromonadia; Desulfuromonadales; Geothermobacteraceae.